RNAcentral lists this long non-coding RNA (627 nucleotides) under Panax ginseng (ginseng). RNAcentral's name for it is "long non-coding RNA (PGIN_LNC004742)". The record is from RNAcentral. Lineage: Eukaryota; Viridiplantae; Streptophyta; Magnoliopsida; Apiales; Araliaceae.
UGUGACAACCCGAGAAAUUAGAAAAUUAUUAAAAUCUUAAAUGAUUGGUUUAAGGUCAAAUAAUAGACCUAGACAGAAAAUAAGUGCAUGUGUUUGAUGUUUUCAGAAAGGAAAUUUGAGGAUUUAAAAUUUCUUUUAGUGAAUUAUUCAGGAUUAAGGGUAUGUGUGUAUAUAUUCUGUGAUUACGGUAUUUUGUGUACAGAAUGUGGUUAAGGGUCAAGUGUUGACCAGAUAAAUUAUAUCUGUGUCAAACCCUAAUAUUAUUAGAACGUCAACGUUCAUUUAUAAAAUUAUUACGUUUGACAAGAAACCCUAGAAAUCGGUUCUGGAAACCCUAAUUUUAAUACCGGGAAUCCAAAACCCUAAUUUCAAAUUAUCGAACUUAAACUUUUCUGUCAGGAACCCUGAUGACGGAUUUGAAAACCCUAAUUUCUAAUUAGGGAAAACGAAAGUGUUAAUUUAAUAUUUUAAUGUUAAUUAGGACAUAUUAAUUCUAAUUUCAAGUUAAGUAAUUAGAAAACCUUAAUCUAAUUACGAGAUUUAAUUUCUAAAUUAGAAAAUUUAUUUUCUAUUAGAAACCCUAGUUAGUGGGUUAUAAACCCUAAGGGUUAAAAAGUUGUGUNNNNN